This 297-nucleotide unclassified non-coding RNA is filed under the name Hevea brasiliensis (rubber tree). Lineage: Eukaryota; Viridiplantae; Streptophyta; Magnoliopsida; Malpighiales; Euphorbiaceae. The record is from RNAcentral.
CACCCAUAAGUACAGGAAAUCCCAUUGCACCAAAUGCCAGCUGCGCAGCAUGACUUUCUGCCACAACAGAUUGAAGCUCAGCCAUGGCUGUCCUCCUGUCCUCUGCUAGAACACCAUUGCUUAUUCGGUCGAGCAACCGUUCAACAUAGCUAUCUUCGUUUGAAGGAGAAUUCUCAUUGCCAAAAACAAGCCCAACGACCCCCUUGUAGCGAGAAGCCAAAUCCAUCUUGCUAGGUUAGCUUGAUAGCGGCAGAACACGUCGAGAAGAAGAGCGAGAGUAGUAGAAACAAAAAUUGC